RNAcentral lists this long non-coding RNA (4056 nucleotides) under Capsicum annuum. RNAcentral describes it as "long non-coding RNA (CANN_LNC016270)". The record is from RNAcentral. Lineage: Eukaryota; Viridiplantae; Streptophyta; Magnoliopsida; Solanales; Solanaceae.
UAAAAUUUAAUAUUAUAAGAGACUCUUAAUUUAAUUUCAAAUUAAUAUAAAAGCCAAAUUACCAUUUAUAGAUAAAUCUGAACUCAAAAUUAAUAAACAAACAAUAGUUAACACAACCAAGAAAGCAUCAGUGAUUAGGAACGCCACUUCUUCGGCUUUUGCCGAUAUGACACCGAAAAUUACGAAUUUGAUCAGAUUUAGUCUAUUUUCCGGCGCGGCUUGAAAAAAGAAAGAGAGAAGGGUAUUUUUAAUGGUGGUUGGUGGCUGACGACUCGAUGAUAGCGAAUUCCGGCGAGAAAUUCACCGUUUUCCAGCGGGUAUCCACCAUUUCCGGCGAGGUGGAUGGCGAUUCCAGCGAUGAGUGGUUGAUUUUGCAACAUGGGGGAGGGGGAAGGCGCCAGAGAUGGCACUGUUGUUUUGUCGGCGAGCAGCGGCGGGAAAAGGGGAAGAGGGACGAUGGUUGACGGAGAACGGCGACCGGAUGGAGGCAGCAGUGACGCGAUGGCGUUUUCCGGUAGGUAGGGGUAGUUUGGCCGACGAUUUUUGCGAUUUUUCGACGGAAUAGCCAUCGAAAUAGUGACGGCAGUGGCAGAAAAGAUUGGAUCUGACGAGAAUUGGAGUUUUCCAAUCUUUGUAUUCAAAUUCAAAAACUAGCUCAGAUUACCCAAGUCUACAUAAACAAAUCACCAAUCUAUUCCCAACAAAUGUGAAACUUUUCACCCAGUCUAACAAAAGCACCUACAAUGAUACUCAGUAAGUGAAUCCAAACACUCUUACAACUGCAUCAAGUGUCAAAUGUCAAGGUGUAUUGAGAAGAGAAAUAUGUGGCACUUAAAUUUUUGCUCAAGAUUACAUCAACUACUAAUUAUCGUACAACAACAUUUUGGUAAAAAAAAAAAAAACAUUUUGGUUAAAAAAAAAAAAGCAUGGAACUUUGUAUAUAUACUAACAAAAGAAUAUGAGUGCUAAACUAAUUAGCAAAAUUAACAACAAAGAGGAGCGAAAAAAGAGAGAGGAAGAAGCUCUACCUUGUAAACUAAUAAUACAUAAAUAAAGAAAGCUUUCCUAGAAAAUUUACAUUAAGCCCAUCUAGUUUUGCGUUAAAUAGGAAAUGAAAGAAGGGAAGAUGAAAAGACUACAAUCACUUUUCAUCUGACCAACUUUCUAGAUGAUGGAAUGAAUAAUAAUAAAUAAAACAGAAAAGCGUCAAAAAUAUUCUUGAACUAUGUUAAAUGGAUUAAAAAUGCCUCUCAUUAAUUUCUUGGCUUAAAAAUAUCUCUCCAUUAAAUAUUUAGUUCAAAAAUAUCCUUUUUUCUAAUAAAAUUUCACCAAGCAUGCUACAUGUGUAAAAAAGACCACGUGGACAUGUCACAUGAUCGUCCACAUGUAAAAUUCACUCUUUAUUUGCAACCAUUUGGCUGUGAUUUGUUCUCUGUGGAUCCAUUCGUAAGAAUAAGUGUUUAGAACUAAAUUCUUGCGUCGUAUUUUUAGAAUAAUUCGAUGUGAAAAAUUAUUUUCUCCUUCCUUGGUUAGAAAUAACCUGUAUGAUGACUAUAUUUGGAUGUUAUGCUAUGUUUCACUUUUACCAUCAACAUAUGAGAUGAUCUUCUUUAAUCUGCUUAAUCCAGUUUUAAAUUUCUCCUCAUUUCAUUGAUAACAUACAAUUUUUCGUUGGAAUUGAUUGGACUGAAAAAUUGGACAGUUCUUUUUUCGAUUUUAAUGUGCCGAUUCUGUGUUAUUUAUUCAUUUUAUCUGAUCAAGCUUGUUAAAUUUCUUGUUGCUCUAUGUAAGAGUUGAAGAAAGUUCUCAAUAUGUAUACAAAAUAUAGAGUUGAAAAAAGUUCUCUUUGCAUUUUAUAGGACGGGUAGUUUACAUGAAAUGUACAGUCACUUCACUAUUAAGUACACAGUAACAUGAUAAUAGCUUGUGUUUUUUUAUCAAGUUAUCUGGCAUGAAGCACGGUGACCUGACAGUACUGUACCCAAACGUUGGUAGAUGACGGAUAGCAAGAUGUUCCAUUUUUCCCCUCUUAGGCCAAUAACUUUGGCUUGAAAAACAACAAUUUUGAUUUCUUUAUGGCUGGAUCGAUUUCUUUAUAUAAAUCAAACAUUCACAUGUUCUGGUUGUUGCUGCUACUUUUGAAUUUUCUGUUGUUUAAAAGUUUAGACAAAGAUAACUUCCUUAAUUCCAUCCACCUGCCUCUCCUAGAUUCUUGUUACGUUAUGAUUGUUCCUUCAAGAUGUGUAGUAAUGAAACUGAUGUGGCUAUCUCAUUUAAAUUGGGUUGAUAGAAUUAAAGAGGAGAUUUUACAUGGACGAUGAUGUAGCAUGUUCAUAUGGCUUUUUUACACAUGUGGUAUGCUUGGUGGAAUUCUGUGAGAGGGAGGGGCAUUUUUUAGCUAAAUAUUUAACGAAAGAGUAUUUUUGAGCCAAGAAAUUAACGAGGAAUAUUUUUAAUUCAUUUCACAUAAUUUAGGAAUAUUUUUUAUCUUUUUCCGAUAAAUAAAAUAAGAGGAGAUGAAAAGUCAUUUUUUCAACCCACAGACUUUUGAUAUGACAAUUCAUUAUGUAACUUCACUGUUUUCUCCAAAGUUUUAAUUAAAUAUACUUAGUGGGUGUUAGUGGGUGUUUGGAAGUGCUUAUAGGUUGGUCAGAGAGGUCACUUAACUUUUGAAGAGUUUUUUAAAUCUAACCUUCAACUAUUCCCACCGUUUUAUCUAUUUAGCCUUCUUGACUUUGUAUAUUUUUUAAAAAAAAAAAAAAUUAUGAAUGUAUUUUACUAGAUUAAUUUUAUUAAUAAUAUUUUAAAAUUUUAAUUUUAAUUAAUGUUAUUAUUUUAUACAGUUAUUUAAUAAUAAGACUCGAAUUCAAAAUUAAUUAAGGAUGAAUGAAUCAUAUCUAUCACACUAAACCCGAGGUGUCCUUCUGUUUGAAAUGUACUUUGUAUUUCUUUUUAUUUUUUUUAUUUGAGUUGCAAUUAUAUUCCUAAACACUUGCUCUUUUAAUCUUUUAAAAUAAUUUGAACAAAAAUUUUUUAUUAUGUCUUUAUUUAAUAAAUGUAUUAUUAUUGAUUUAAAAAAGAUAUAAAUUUAAUUAGGAAUAUAUUGAUAAAAUUAAUUUUAAUUUUAUAGGGAUACAAAAUUUUAAGAUUUUAUAGGAGUACAAGUGUGCCCGACUCAAAUGAAGCAAAUAAAAAGCAACAGAGGAAGUAACUCAUUGGGUUAGGGACUUACUCGUCAUUUGGUGUGAGGUAUAAGGGAUAAGUAGUCUCAGGAUAAAAUGAAGGAUCAUUUUCUCCCAUGUUUGGUUGGUGGUAUUAGUCAAUACCGGGAUAACUUAUCUCACCAUUUAUACCAUAGUGAUGGGAUAAGUUAUUCCAUAUGCAUGAUAGGAUAAGAUAUUUCGGAUAAUCCUGAAACAAUCAAUCCCGAGAUUAAUUAUCCCGGGAUAACUAUUUCCCAAACAAACGACUCGCAUGUAAUCUGCAUCCUGAGGUUUGAACCAGUUUAAUUUUUACUAGUAAUUAAUUCUAUUCCUUGGGAUGUACUCCUUCCGUCUCAUUUUACUCGAUCAAUUUGAUAUUGCACAUUGAUUAAGAAAAAUAAUUAAUAACAUGACUACUUUACCAUUUCUAUUAAAUGAUGUUCACAUUUUAAUUUGAGGAAAAAACAAUUAAUAUUAAGGGUAAAAAAGGAAAAAAAAAUUAUCUUGUCUUAAUUAAUAAAAAAUAACAAGUAAAAUGAGAAUAAAAUUAGAAAAUUUGAGACGAGUAAAAUGAGACGGAAGGAGUAGUCCAAGCUGCAGUGGCACCUCACGAACUUCUUACUGGGGCAGUACUAUAAUAGGCAUUUGCGAGUGUUUGAAUGCACGUGUUUUGUUCAUAUUCACGUGUUUUGUUCAUAUUUCUGCGCAGUAAGAGAAAAAUUGUCCCCAAGGAAGGGUCCAACAAAGAUCUUGGUUUGAUCAAGUUCAACAAAGAUCUUGGUUUGAUCAAGUUCGGGCCUGAUCGAGACGUGUUAUAAUAUGGAAUCAGUGUGAGAUUGACGAUUACACCAAG